Molecule: ribosomal RNA, 440 nt
Filed under: uncultured bacterium
Lineage: Bacteria
Description: partial 16S ribosomal RNA
Rfam family: Bacterial small subunit ribosomal RNA
Source: RNAcentral
CCUACGGGAGGCAGCAGUGGGGGAUAUUGCACAAUGGGGGAAACCCUGAUGCAGCGACGCCGCGUGAGUGAAGAAGUAUUUCGGUAUUUAAAGCUCUAUCAGCAGGGAAGAAAAUGACACUACCUGACCAAGAAGCCCCGGCCAACUCCGUGCCAGCCGCCGCGGUAAUACGGCGGGGGCAAGCGUUAUCCGGAUUUACUGGGUGUAAAGGGAGCGUAGACGGUUAUGUAAGUCUGGAGUGAAAGUCCUGGGCUCAACCCCGGUAGUGCUUUUGAAACUGUGUAACUGGAGUACAGGAGGGGCAGGCGGAAUUCGUGGUGUAGCGGUGAAAUGCGUAGAUAUCAGGAGGAACACCGGCGGCGAAGGCGGCCUGCUGGACUGAAACUGACGUUGAGGCUCGAAAGCGUGGGGAGCAAACAGGAUUAGAUACCCCAGUAGUC